Molecule: ribosomal RNA, 808 nt
Filed under: uncultured bacterium
Lineage: Bacteria
Description: bacterial SSU rRNA
Rfam family: Bacterial small subunit ribosomal RNA
Source: RNAcentral
GCUGGCGGCAUGCUUANNCNCGCAAGUCGAACGGUAACAGGCCUUCGGGUGCUGACGAGUGGCGGACGGGUGAGUAAUACAUGGGAAUCUGCCCUAGGGUGGGGGAUAACGUUGGGAAACUAACGCUAAUACCGCAUAACCUCUUCGGAGCAAAGCGGGGGAUCUUCGGACCUCGCGCCAAAGGAUGAGCCCAUGUCUGAUUAGCUAGUUGGUGAGGUAAUGGCUCACCAAGGCUUCGAUCAGUAGCCGGCCUGAGAGGGUGUACGGCCACACUGGGACUGAGACACGGCCCAGACUCCUACGGGAGGCAGCAGUGGGGAAUAUUGGACAAUGGGGGCAACCCUGAUCCAGCAAUGCCGCGUGUGUGAAGAAGGCCUGCGGGUUGUAAAGCACUUUUGUUGAGGAAGAAUGUGUUUAGGUAAAUAGCCUGAACACUUGACGUUACUCAAAGAAUAAGCACCGGCUAACUCCGUGCCAGCAGCCGCGGUAAUACGGAGGGUGCGAGCGNUUAAUCGGAAUUACUGGGCGUAAAGCGUGCGUAGGCGGAUGUUUAAGUCUGUUGUGAAAUCCCCGGGCUCAACCUGGGAAUGGCAUUGGAUACUGGGCAUCUAGAGUGUGGUAGAGGGUAGUGGAAUUUCUGGCGUAGCGGUGAAAUGCGUAGAUAUCAGAAAGAACACCAAUGGCGANNNAACUACCUGGGCCAACACUGACGCUGANNACGAAAGCGUGGGGAGCAAACNGNUUAGAUACCCUGGUAGUCCACGCCCUAAACGAUGUCNACUUGUCGUUGGGAGGGCUAAACCUUUCA